RNAcentral lists this ribosomal RNA (519 nucleotides) under uncultured bacterium. Its description in RNAcentral is "bacterial SSU rRNA". It matches the Rfam family "Bacterial small subunit ribosomal RNA", at positions 992 to 1509 of the family's 1533-position model. The record is from RNAcentral.
AGAACUUAGCAGAGAUGCUUUGGUGCCCUUUCGGGAACUCUGAGACAGGUGCUGCAUGGCUGUCGUCAGCUCGUGUUGUGAAAUGUUGGGUUAAGUCCCGCAACGAGCGCAACCCUUAUCCUUUGUUGCCAGCGGUCCGGCCGGGAACUCAAAGGAGACUGCCAGUGAUAAACUGGAGGAAGGUGGGGAUGACGUCAAGUCAUCAUGGCCCUUACGAGUAGGGCUACACACGUGCUACAAUGGCGCAUACAAAGAGAAGCGACCUCGCGAGAGCAAGCGGACCUCAUAAAGUGCGUCGUAGUCCGGAUUGGAGUCUGCAACUCGACUCCAUGAAGUCGGAAUCGCUAGUAAUCGUAGAUCAGAAUGCUACGGUGAAUACGUUCCCGGGCCUUGUACACACCGCCCGUCACACCAUGGGAGUGGGUUGCAAAAGAAGUAGGUAGCUUAACCUUCGGGAGGGCGCUUACCACUUUGUGAUUCAUGACUGGGGUGAAGUCGUAACAAGGUAAGCGUAGCGAG